GACACCUUCAGCUUGAAAGUGAGGUGAUGCAGAAUCAUCUGUCAUGCUACUGGGAGUCAAAAGAAGCUAGAGUAGUCAUACUUAUAUCAGACAAACUAGAUUUUAAUCUAAGGUAGUUAUGAGAUGAA
This is a long non-coding RNA of Lynx canadensis (Canada lynx), 128 nucleotides long. RefSeq lists it as uncharacterized. The transcript has 3 exons. The record is from RefSeq and is a predicted model, not a curated record. Lineage: Eukaryota; Metazoa; Chordata; Mammalia; Carnivora; Felidae.